GUAUAAUGAUGAAAACCCAUGCGUGUCAUCUGACUCUGUAAACCCCCGCUGUACUGUCGUCCUGGUUGGCGUUCUGUUGGCUGGAGUCCUCAGGACAGCAGGGAUCCAGAGAUAUGAUCAUACAUCACUACUUCUGAAUAC
Molecule: small nucleolar RNA, 141 nt
Organism: Scophthalmus maximus (turbot)
Lineage: Eukaryota; Metazoa; Chordata; Actinopteri; Pleuronectiformes; Scophthalmidae
Gene: SNORD10
Product: small nucleolar RNA, C/D box 10
Source: Ensembl